CGCCAUUCUUGUGUUUUACAUGGUAGACACGCCAUUGUUAAAGUCCACAUCUUUUGUUGUUUUCCUGGAAAAAUCAAUUUGCUUUGAAACAAUCCGGAUACAAGAGUGACUCUCAACUAGUCUUUCGGCUGCGUUAUCCGGUCGAAGGGGGUACUGGACCAACAACUCCGGCAACCGAUCCGCAAGAGCAGCUUCUUUGGUACCGCGACAUCCAGCGUAGAGGCGAGGUGCCAUUGAAGCACGGACUCCACAAACAACAGCCCGAUCGACCACAAGACCGAGGAAUUCUAACAAUGUUAGUAAUGGCCGAUGGGGAACCUCCUCACCCCCAUAAGCUGUUCGUUUUUCUAACCCAAAAACUUGGAACAUGCUAUCGUACGACCCAGCGAAAAGAAGGGCAGAAAUGGAUAAUUUUGAUGACUAUAUAUGGCAAUCCAUGGAGAAACCAGACCUACACGGACGAAAAUGAAGAAGCGGCAUAU
Molecule: long non-coding RNA, 482 nt
Organism: Daphnia pulicaria
Lineage: Eukaryota; Metazoa; Arthropoda; Branchiopoda; Diplostraca; Daphniidae
Exons: 4
Source: RefSeq, a predicted model, not a curated record